GUCGCUAGCCUCUUUACCUGCCUACACACCUUUCUGCCUACGUGGCACAUUGGUAGGCAAGAGGGCAUGAUGUAGCAGUGGAGAUGGACUGCCAC
Molecule: microRNA precursor, 95 nt
Organism: Caenorhabditis elegans
Lineage: Eukaryota; Metazoa; Nematoda; Chromadorea; Rhabditida; Rhabditidae
Source: Ensembl